CUGAUCCAGCAUGCCGCGUGUGUGAAGAAGGCCUUCGGGUUGUAAAGCACUUUUGUCCGGAAAGAAAUCCUUGGCUCUAAUACAGUCGGGGGAUGACGGUACCGGAAGAAUAAGCACCGGCUAACUACGUGCCAGCAGCCGCGGUAAUACGUAGGGUGCGAGCGUUAAUCGGAAUUACUGGGCGUAAAGCGUGCGCAGGCGGUUUGCUAAGACCGAUGUGAAAUCCCCGGGCUCAACCUGGGAACUGCAUUGGUGACUGGCAGGCUAGAGUAUGGCAGAGGGGGGUAGAAUUCCACGUGUAGCAGUGAAAUGCGUAGAGAUGUGGAGGAAUACCGAUGGCGAAGGCAGCCCCCUGGGCCAAUACUGACGCUCAUGCACGAAAGCGUGGGGAGCAAACAG
RNAcentral lists this ribosomal RNA (399 nucleotides) under Burkholderia sp. MR5. RNAcentral describes it as "bacterial SSU rRNA". It matches the Rfam family "Bacterial small subunit ribosomal RNA", at positions 383 to 775 of the family's 1533-position model. The record is from RNAcentral. Lineage: Bacteria; Pseudomonadati; Pseudomonadota; Betaproteobacteria; Burkholderiales; Burkholderiaceae.